AGUUUUAUUCUUGCUUUUUCGUUCAUUUUUUUGUUUGUUCUAUAUGUAAGUUUUUGCGUGGUUUUAUUUAAGUUCUAAAUGAUCUUAGAGGUUGGUGUAAGGUUGGAUUUUUCUCAUUAGUUGUUAUUGGUUGAUCAAGUGUCCUUGUAUUUAGCAAUACAUUUUAGUUUCGGUUAAAUUUUGUGCCAGCAGCCGCGGUUAUACCUUGGAGGCUUUGAAUGUGUUUGGCAUAUAGGUAGUUAUAUGAUUUAUUUGUGGUUGAUUUUAUUUUGGUAGUUAUUGGGUGAAAUUUUUAUUGUUGCUGUUUUUCUUAUUUGUGUUUGGAGGCUACGAAAUUUUAUUUUUAAACUAGGAUUAGAUACCCUAUUAUUUUAGAAUGUUAAAUUUUAUGUGCCUGAGUAGUAUUAGUUAUGUUCUUGAAACUUAAAGAAUUUGGCGGUAUCUCAUUCCGUCCAGAGGAAUCUGUCUCGUUAUCGAUAGUCCGCGUUGGACCUUACUUAAGAUUUGUUGGGGUUUGUAUACCGCCGUAUAUGAUUAUCUUUUUAGAGUUUGUUUAAUUUUCUGGUUUCUUUAUUUUGAUUUAUUUCAGGUCAAGGUGCAGCUUGUUUUUAAGUGGAAUGAUGGAUUACAUUGUUAUUUGUUUUAUGGAUUGUCUGGUUAAAAUAUUGGCAUGAAAUUGGAUUUGGUUGUAAUUAUUUGUAGAUUGUUAUUGUGAUAAUGGUUCUGGGAUAUGUACACAUCGCCCGUCGCUCUCAUUUCAUUGUUAGUGAGAUAAGUCGUAACAAAGUGGCUGUACCGGAAGGUGUGGCUGGAUUGAUAU
Molecule: non-coding RNA, 820 nt
Filed under: Mimeutermes sorex
Lineage: Eukaryota; Metazoa; Arthropoda; Insecta; Blattodea; Termitidae
Source: RNAcentral